UACGGGUACGAUGAGCGUACGAGUAAAACACAAACAUUAGUGAAUAUGUGCAAAUGUAUAAAGAUAUAUAAGCAUUGCAUUUUACGACAGUAAUUCAAAGGCAGAAAUAAAUGUGGAUUGUUUAUAUGUUGUAAUAUCGGUAGCUGUGAAGCUCGCGCGAAAUUAGUGCAAAUAUUUUGAAUAUAUGUAUAUUCCUUAAAGCGCGGAAAUUCAAAAUUGAGUAAACUGCAUUUCCUACAGAGGAAAACACGAUAAGCAAUAAUUAUAGUGCAUGAAAUUUUGAAUAAUGAACGUAAAUUAUUGAAACUGCGUGCAUUAAAACACAUUAGACAAAUUCGUUUAUAGAUACAAAGUCAGUAGACAGAAUUUCAAAAUAGGAAGUAGUCAAGAAAGUAAGUGAGAAAAUAAAUAAAAGUCUAUAAAUAACAUUUUUUUUUUUUNAAAAACAAAUAUAAAAAACUAAGCCAGUGGGAAAGUGGCGAAGAAAAGUAAGAAACGUAACAGCUCAACAAGUGCAAGAAACCGCAAACAGUCGCCCACCUUAUGCACGCUGCACUACCGCGUGUAUGUCUCGUCGUUUGCGUGCCGCGCAUGCGCAGUGCUUUGUUCAGAUAUUUUUGCCUCUUAAAAAUUCGUAUUUCUGCAACAAAAAGUUUUAACCGUACUCGUGCCAAUUUUUUACUAUUUACGCGCGUUUUGUUUUCUGUAUUUUAUUAAGCUCUUUACUUUUGGGUGCGUUAAGUGUGUUUUUCUUUGAAUUACUGUGAGUAAUGGCGAGAAAACAUAAUAAUAACACAACGAUAAAGAUGCUGAAAAGUGAAAAUUUAAGUCUAUGGCCGCUGGCAUUUGCCUCUUUCCUUGCACUGCAGCUGCUCGCCGGUACCGCUGAAGCCUUCACUAUACUCUCGCCAUUCAGUUACACAUCUUUGAGCUUUAAGAAUCUGCUAAAUUCUGUGUUUUUAGCCAGUAAUGCGAAUUUGGCGGGUGGUGGGCGAAAUCUAAAAUCAGACAUACUUGAGGAUGCGUCAUUGAUAACGCCGAAAUUGAUACGCAAGUACGGUUACCCAUCGGAGACACAUACUGUGGUGACAAAGGAUGGCUAUAUUCUAGAGAUGCAUCGCAUACCAAAACGUGGCGCCCAGCCAGUGCUUCUGAUGCAUGGCAUAUUGGACACCUCGGCCACAUGGGUGCUGAUGGGACCAAAAUCAGGGUUGGGUUACAUGCUAUCGGAUCUCGGUUACGACAUAUGGAUGGGCAAUGCGCGUGGCAAUCGAUAUUCGAAGAAUCACACGAGCCUUAAUAGCGAUUACCAGGAAUUCUGGGAUUUCACCUUUCACGAAAUGGGCAAAUAUGAUUUACCGGCAAAUAUUGAUUAUAUCCUCAGCAAAACAGGUUACGAACAGCUGCACUAUAUAGGACACUCGCAGGGCACUGCAGUCUUUUGGGUUCUGUGUUCCGAGCAGCCUUCCUAUACACAAAAAAUACUAUCGAUGCACGCUCUAGCUCCCAUAGCGUUCAUUUCUGAUAUGAAGAGUCCACUUUUUCGAACAUUGGUUGUGUUUUUAGACUUUUUAACGGCAGCGACACGUAUGCUACGCAUUACUGAAUUUAUGCCCAAUACAAAAUUGUUUGUAGAUCACACCCAAGUGGUGUGCCACGACAACGCAAUGACACAGGACGUCUGUUCGAAUAUAUUGUUCCUGGUGGCUGGCUACAAUUCGGAGCAAUUGAAUAAGACAAUGUUACCAGUCAUGUUGAGUCAUACACCUUCAGGGGCAUCAAUUAAACAACUCGAACAUUUCGGGCAGCUAAUGAAAUCGGGGAAUUUUCGCCAAUUCGAUCGUGGCUUUUUGCGCAAUCAACUUCAAUACAAUCGUAUGACACCGCCCGAUUAUGAUCUGUCCAAGGUGAAGGUGCCGGUGGCUCUUUACUAUUCGAUGAACGAUAUGUUGGUAUCGACGACAGGUGUCGAUCGUUUGGCACGCGAGUUGCCCGAUGUGAUUGACAAAUACUUGGUGCCCAUGGAGAAGUUCAAUCAUUUGGACUUUUUAUGGGCGAUCGAUGUCAAGUCACUAGUGUACAAUCGCCUCGUAAGGAAUAUUAGACGCGUGGAGAAUUACAAGCAAAAGCAAACGCUACAAAUUAAUGCGAACAUACAACAGUUUAGUACACAUCUACACCAACAACAUUUACAAGUAUUACAUCAACGACAACAUCGGCAACAGCAGAAACUUUUGCGCGAACAGCAAGAAUUGGAAAAUCAACAACUAAAAAGAAGCGGAAACACACGCUCCGGCACAAAUCGAAAUUUCCAUACAAUUUCGAAUACGAAUUUAAAUUCAAACACAAUUGGCAGCGCAGGUCAGCCUAUAAAUGGACGCUUACAUCCUCAUGGACAGAACGUAUAUUCGACUUAUGCUUCACUUUUGCCGCAACUCUUGCCGGCAACAGCCACAGUGCCGUCUAUAAAACCAACACUGCCAAUACUGACAACGCUACCAACGGUGCCAACCGUCAACACGAACUCGCAUCAAGAUUUAUCUGUGAUAGACUCGGAUAUACAUCCAGUUUAUAAGCCAAGCGUAAAUGAGCAUGAAACUAUGGACCAAGAAAGUCUUUCAAAUUCUAAUAUACCAUUAGAUUUCAUGCCAGUUUUGUCCUCGAAUACAGAGUCGAAUAUGGAGGACAUGAGCACGAAUGCGCCACUAUCCAACUUCUCGGAAACGACGGAAAAAGUUGUGGAAGGGAGUGCGUGAAACACACUACAAUUGUACUCAUCCAUCUGCCCCUGCAACGUUAACUUCACCGUGAUGCCUGACAUUCAGAGGAAGUUAUAUUGUGAUUGGAUGGAAUAUCCCUAAAUCGCCAAAUUGCCAUGCCCAUACCAAAUACCGCUUAUCAGCCUUUACCUAAAAAUUAGGAAAAGUGGACUGCUAAACCACGACGAGUUCCAAAGUAAUGCAAUUUUCAUAUUUCAGUACAGGCAUCAACAUAAAUAUGAAUACUUGGUACAAAUACUUCUUACAAAUUACGAGAGUAUAUAUGUUCACCACUCUCUAUCUUAGCCCUAACUUAGUAUUUUUAUAUGGU
Molecule: unclassified non-coding RNA, 3090 nt
Filed under: Bactrocera latifrons
Lineage: Eukaryota; Metazoa; Arthropoda; Insecta; Diptera; Tephritidae
Description: lipase 3-like, transcript variant X1
Source: RNAcentral